RNAcentral lists this ribosomal RNA (409 nucleotides) under Klebsiella pneumoniae. Its description in RNAcentral is "partial 23S ribosomal RNA". It matches the Rfam family "Bacterial large subunit ribosomal RNA", at positions 911 to 1317 of the family's 2925-position model. Lineage: Bacteria; Pseudomonadati; Pseudomonadota; Gammaproteobacteria; Enterobacterales; Enterobacteriaceae. The record is from RNAcentral.
UGUUUCGGCUAGGGGGUCAUCCCGACUUACCAACCCGAUGCAAACUACGAAUACCGAAGAAUGUUAUCACGGGAGACACACGGCGGGUGCUAACGUCCGUCGUGAAGAGGGAAACAACCCAGACCGCCAGCUAAGGUCCCAAAGUCAUGGUUAAGUGGGAAACGAUGUGGGAAGGCACAGACAGCCAGGAUGUUGGCUUAGAAGCAGCCAUCAUUUAAAGAAAGCGUAAUAGCUCACUGGUCGAGUCGGCCUGCGCGGAAGAUGUAACGGGGCUAAACCAUGCACCGAAGCUGCGGCAGCGACACUAUGUGUUGUUGGGUAGGGGAGCGUUCUGUAAGCCUGCGAAGGUGUGCUGUGAGGCAUGCUGGAGGUAUCAGAAGUGCGAAUGCUGACAUAAGUAACGAUAAAG